RNAcentral lists this transfer RNA (77 nucleotides) under Parcubacteria group bacterium ADurb.Bin316. RNAcentral's name for it is "tRNA-Val". It matches the Rfam family "tRNA". Rfam says of the family: Transfer RNA (tRNA) molecules are approximately 80 nucleotides in length. Their secondary structure includes four short double-helical elements and three loops (D, anti-codon, and T loops). Further hydrogen bonds mediate the characteristic L-shaped molecular structure. tRNAs have two regions of fundamental functional importance: the anti-codon, which is responsible for specific mRNA codon recognition, and the 3' end, to which the tRNAs corresponding amino acid is attached (by aminoacyl-tRNA synthetases). tRNAs cope with the degeneracy of the genetic code in two manners: having more than one tRNA (with a specific anti-codon) for a particular amino acid; and 'wobble' base-pairing, i.e. permitting non-standard base-pairing at the 3rd anti-codon position. RNAcentral also lists the same sequence under 1 other name. The record is from RNAcentral.
GGACGCAUAGCUCAGUUGGCUAGAGCAUCUGCUUUACACGCAGAGGGUCCUAGGUUCGAGUCCUAGUGCGUCCACCA